Molecule: ribosomal RNA, 397 nt
Filed under: uncultured bacterium
Lineage: Bacteria
Description: partial 16S ribosomal RNA
Rfam family: Bacterial small subunit ribosomal RNA
Source: RNAcentral
AUACGUAGGGGGCGAGCGUUGUCCGGAAUGAUUGGGCGUAAAGGGCGCGUAGGCGGCGCGGUAAGUCUGGAGUGAAAGUCCUGCUUUCAAGGUGGGAAUUGCUUUGGAUACUGCCGCGCUUGAGUGCAGGAGAGGUUAUCGGAAUUACCAGUGUAGCGGUGAAAUGCGUAGAGAUCGGGAGGAACACCAGUGGCGAAGGCGGGUAACUGGACUGCAACUGACGCUGAGGCGCGAAAGUGUGGGGAGCAAACAGGAUUAGAUACCCUGGUAGUCCACACUGUAAACGAUGAAUGCUAGGUGUAAGAGGUAUCGACCCCUUUUGUGCCGGAGUCAACACAAUAAGCAUUCCGCCUGGGGAGUACGGCCGCAAGGUUGAAACUCAAAUGAAUUGACGGGG